CACGUAGGGGGCGAGCGUUGUCCGGAUUUAUUGGGCGUAAAGCGCUCGUAGGCGGCUCGGUAAGUCAGGUGUGAAACCUCCAGGCUCAACCUGGAGACGCCACCUGAUACUGCCGUGGCUAGAGUCCGGUAGAGGAGCGUAGAAUUCCUGGUGUAGCGGUGAAAUGCGCAGAUAUCAGGAGGAAUACCAGCGGCGAAGGCGGCGCUCUGGGCCGGUACUGACGCUGAGGAGCGAAAGCAUGGGGAGCGAACAGG
RNAcentral lists this ribosomal RNA (254 nucleotides) under uncultured bacterium. RNAcentral describes it as "partial 16S ribosomal RNA". It matches the Rfam family "Bacterial small subunit ribosomal RNA", at positions 524 to 776 of the family's 1533-position model. The record is from RNAcentral.